Molecule: non-coding RNA, 48 nt
Filed under: Schistosoma mattheei
Lineage: Eukaryota; Metazoa; Platyhelminthes; Trematoda; Strigeidida; Schistosomatidae
Source: RNAcentral
AUCUAGCUGACGAAUCCCAAAUAAGACGAAACGCGCUUCAAACUGGAU